Molecule: ribosomal RNA, 301 nt
Filed under: uncultured bacterium
Lineage: Bacteria
Description: partial 16S ribosomal RNA
Rfam family: Bacterial small subunit ribosomal RNA
Source: RNAcentral
CAGUCGCCGCGGUAACACGAAGGGGGCUAGCGUUGUUCGGAUUUACUGGGCGUAAAGGGCGCGUAGGCGGGCGAAUAAGUCAGGGGUGAAAUCCCAAGGCUCAACCUUGGAACUGCCUUUGAUACUGUUUGUCUUGAGUUCGAGAGAGGUAAGUGGAACUGCGAGUGUAGAGGUGAAAUUCGUAGAUAUUCGCAAGAACACCAGUGGCGAAGGCGGCUUACUGGCUCGAAACUGACGCUGAGGCGCGAAAGCGUGGGGAGCAAACAGGAUUAGAUACCCGCGUAGUCCCUGUCUCUUAUAC